GAGGGUAUGGCUCUAGUGGCAGAGCACAUGCUUAGCAGGCACGAGGGCCUGGGUUCAAUUUCCAGUCCCUUCC
RNAcentral lists this transfer RNA (73 nucleotides) under Camelus bactrianus (Bactrian camel). It matches the Rfam family "tRNA". From Rfam's summary of the family: Transfer RNA (tRNA) molecules are approximately 80 nucleotides in length. Their secondary structure includes four short double-helical elements and three loops (D, anti-codon, and T loops). Lineage: Eukaryota; Metazoa; Chordata; Mammalia; Artiodactyla; Camelidae. RNAcentral also lists the same sequence under 2 other names. The record is from Rfam by way of RNAcentral.